CAAGAUUAAAGAACUUGGGUUAUACUUAUUUGUGCUAUAACUUCUUCAUGAAAAAAUAAACAGAGGAAGAUAUCUGUCCCAUUUAUCUUUGAAGUAUACAAGGGGGCAGAUAUUAUGUAGGAGAAAUAUACUGAUCCUUGCAACGAUGUGAAUGAAUCUCAAAAACAUGCUGUCUGAAGAAACCUGGUUGUUAAAUAUUUAUCAGCAUUCUACUAUUGUAUUCUCCAAAAUCAAGGAAUCAAAGUAUUCCUCAUCUGUAUCCAUCUUGAAGAUAAAGCUGACAUAGAGAGGAAGGCAGUGAGAAGACAAGUGGAACCAGGUUUCAGAUCAAAUUACUCGUGAAGGUUGCCUCACAUUUGGAAUUCUGAGUCAUGGAGGCAAUGUAUUCCUAUAUUUUAAAUUGUAAUCUGUUGCAUUUUGGUUUUAUGUCAUCUGCAGGUGAAAAACUCCUAAAUAAAGCCUUCUUCAAAUGCUCU
Long non-coding RNA from Mustela lutreola (European mink), 476 nucleotides. RefSeq lists it as uncharacterized. Lineage: Eukaryota; Metazoa; Chordata; Mammalia; Carnivora; Mustelidae. The record is from RefSeq and is a predicted model, not a curated record. The transcript is spliced from 3 exons.